GAUGAACGCUGGCGGCGUGCUUAACUCAUGCAAGUCGAACGAUGAAGCCCAGCUUGCUGGGUGGAUUAGUGGCGAACGGGUGAGUAACACGUGAGUAACCUGCCCUUGACUCUGGGAUAAGCCUGGGAAACUGGGUCUAAUACUGGAUAUGACUUCUCAUCGCAUGGUGGGGGGUGGAAAGAUUUAUUGGUCUUGGAUGGACUCGCGGCCUAUCAGCUUGUUGGUGAGGUAAUGGCUCACCAAGGCGACGACGGGUAGCCGGCCUGAGAGGGUGACCGGCCACACUGGGACUGAGACACCGCCCAGACUCCUACGGGAGGCAGCAGUGGGGAAUAUUGCACAAUGGGCGCAAGCCUGAUGCAGCGACGCCGCGUGAGGGAUGACGGCCUUCGGGUUGUAAACCUCUUUCAGUAGGGAAGAAGCGAGAGUGACGGUACCUGCAGAAGAAGCGCCGGCUAACUACGUG
RNAcentral lists this ribosomal RNA (466 nucleotides) under uncultured bacterium. Its description in RNAcentral is "partial 16S ribosomal RNA". It matches the Rfam family "Bacterial small subunit ribosomal RNA", at positions 28 to 507 of the family's 1533-position model. The record is from RNAcentral.